Molecule: ribosomal RNA, 449 nt
Filed under: uncultured bacterium
Lineage: Bacteria
Description: bacterial SSU rRNA
Rfam family: Bacterial small subunit ribosomal RNA
Source: RNAcentral
GACGAACGCUGGCGGCGCGCCUAACACAUGCAAGUCGAACGGGGCUUAUAUUUCAGAAGUUUUCGGAUGGACGAGAGAUAAGCUUAGUGGCGGACGGGUGAGUAACACGUGAGCAACCUGCCUUUCAGAGGGGGAUAACAGUUGGAAACGACUGCUAAUACCGCAUAACGCUGCGAUGGGGCAUCCCGAUGCAGCCAAAGGAGCAAUCCGCUGAAAGAUGGGCUCGCGGCCGAUUAGCUAGUUGGUGGGGCAACGGCCCACCAAGGCGACGAUCGGUAGCCGGACUGAGAGGUUGAUCGGCCACAUUGGGACUGAGACACGGCCCAGACUCCUACGGGAGGCAGCAGUGGGGGAUAUUGCACAAUGGAGGAAACUCUGAUGCAGCGACGCCGCGUGAGGGAAGACGGUCUUCGGAUUGUAAACCUCUGUCUUUGGGGAAGAAAAUGACG